UCACGGUCGGCGAGCGGUUGAGUUUUCUCCCGCACAUCACGGGCUUGCGUGAUAAGCUGACCGGAGUCGUAGGGGCAUUGUCGCGCGUACUGCGGGUCGACUGGGGACUCAGUCCCCGCGCAAAGCGGACAAUAUAUGCCGGACUCAUGGUGCCCUGUGCACUAUUUGGUGCCUCGGUUUGGUCUGUCGUGACGACGACGCAAGUGGUUGCCAGGAGGCAUCUGCUUGCGUGCCAAAGGAUCGUCCUGAUUGGAUGCCUACCGGUAUGCCGAACAGUGUCCACCAUGGCGCUGCAAGUACUAGCUGGAGCCCCCCCGUUUGAUCUGGUUGCCAGACGCCUGGCAAUCAGCUUCAAACUAAAGCGUGACUACCCGCUGGAGGAGAGCGAUUGGCUGUACGGCGAAGAUUUGGCAAAUCUUAGCUGGAAGCAGAAGAUGGCGCGACUAGACGAAGACCUGUUGUGCGAGUGGCAACGCAGAUGGGAUGAUGGUGACUCCCCAGGACGGGUGACGCACCGCUUCAUCCCGAACGCAGGCUUCGUCUACAGCGAACGAAGGUUUGGCUUCACGCUGCGCGCUGGGUUCCUGCUGACGGGCCACGGAUCGCUCAAUGCAUUUCUGCAUGGAAGAAGCCUUAGCGACACGCCAGCAUGUAUAUGCGGCGCAGAACGCGAGGAUUGGCAGCACUUCCUAUGUGCUUGUCCACUCUAUACAGACUUGCGAGACCUCGAUGGACUUGGAGUGCAGUACACGGAUGGCGACUGGACCUUCUCCGAUGUGACGGCUUCUCAGGAGAGAAUGCGGACUCUCGACAGGUUCGCCGGACUGGCGUUCUCCAGGCGACAACAGCUGCUGAAUGCGCAAGCGGCGCACGGGCUGGGUGGAUUCCCUAUCCAGGCCGGUCGGGGCUAAAAGGGAGGAUCGAGCUGAGUCCUUAAGAUCGGUACCACGGGUUGUGCAGUUCCAAGGCUGCACAUUGAGGUCGGCCCCCUAGUGGGAGUAUCGUGGUGGCUGUGGUUGAUACCCAAACGUUACGCGGGGAGAGCCGCUAGGCUCCUCGUGGAGUUGCGCUCUCAACCGGGUGCCGAGACCCAUAGAUCGGAAGACGUGUUAGAUACACCUCGCCCCUCACCAAGGGGGAUUGUAUGCCCGACCAGGAUACUUUCAAUUGGUACCAGAAGAGUCGCUAUGUACAUAGCUAUAGCUUCUUUUUAGGGGCGCUAACUGGCGCAUUGUACCAGGUUCCUGCGUAUGUAGCGGUGGUGCGUGAUGGCGUGAUAUAUGUAAAUAUAUCGCACUAAUCGAGGCUAAGCUGCAAAUAAACAUUAGACGCCGUGGUUGAAAUCCCUCCCUGAGGAACCGCCACGUAAAAUAAAGCUGAGAGAUCAGAUUCAUUCUGUCCCUAUCUACUUUGGGGCCACCAACCCGUGACUGUUUUGGAGUCAAAAUUGGUAGUGUCCUUCGUGGCACGAAGCCUGACCGGAGGCUUUAUUCUGGUACCACGGGAGCCAGGGCCCGCGGAACUCGUUUCCGUCCUGGCUAUUGGUUGCGGCCCCUUGGGGAGCUUCGUGGUGGUUGUGGUUAACACUCAAGCGAGUAGACGUGGAGUUGCGUUAUACAACCUGGUGCUGUGACCCACAGAUCAGCAGAGGUUUAGAUAGCCUCGCUCCACACCAGGGAGGAAGACAUGACCAAAACAGAUUGUCUUCAACUGGUACCGGAUGAACCGGGGCGCUGAUUGACGCUUAAAUUAAUCCUGUGCUUGGCACCGUGAGAUAAAGCCAAUACGGCAGGUGUUCACGUAAAACACAUUGACUUUAAUGUCCCUAUCUACUAUCUAGCGAAACCACAGCCAAGGGAACGGGCUUGGAAUAAUUAGCGGGGAAAGAAGACCCUUUUGAGCUUGACUCUAAUCUGGCAGUGUAAGGAGACAUAAGAGGUGUAGCAUAAGUGGGAGAUAUUAGAUUUCGGUUUGGUAUCGACAAUGAAAUACCACUACUCUUAUUGUUUCCUUACUUACUUGAUUAAAUGGAACGUGUAUCAUUUCCUAGCCAUUAUACGGAUAUAUUUAUUAUAUCUUAUGGUAUUGGGUUUUGAUGCAAGCUUCUUGAUCAAAGUAUCACGAGUUUGUUAUAUAAUCGCAAACAAAUUCUUUAAUGAGAAAAUGCAUUUAUGUAUUUUCAAUUUGAAAAUUUGGUAUAACUCCAAUUACUCAGGUAUGAUCCAAUUCAAGGACAUUGCCAGGUAGGGAGUUUGACUGGGGCGGUACAUCUCUCAAAUAAUAACGGAGGUGUCCCAAGGCCAGCUCAGUGCGGACAGAAACCACACAUAGAGCAAAAGGGCAAAUGCUGACUUGAUCUCGGUGUUCAGUACACACAGGGACAGCAAAAGCUCGGCCUAUCGAUCCUUUUGGUUUAAAGAGUUUUUAACAAGAGGUGUCAGAAAAGUUACCAUAGGGAUAACUGGCUUGUGGCGGCCAAGCGUUCAUAGCGACGUCGCUUUUUGAUCCUUCGGUGUCGGCUCUUCCUAUCAUUGUGAAGCAAAAUUCACCAAGCGUUGGAUUGUUCACCCAUGCAAGGGAACGUGAGCUGGGUUUAGACCGUCGUGAGACAGGUUAGUUUUACCCUACUAAUGACAAAACGUUGUUGCGACAGCAUUCCUGCGUAGUACGAGAGGAACCGCAGGUACGGACCAAUGGCACAAUACUUGUUCGAGCGAACAGUGGUAUGACGCUACGUCCGUUGGAUUAUGCCUGAACGCCUCUAAGGUCGUAUCCGUGCUGGACUGCAAUGAUAAAUAAGGGGCAAUUUGCAUUGUAUGGCUUCUAAACCAUUAAAGUUUAUAAUUUAUUUUAUAAACGACAAUGGAUGUGAUGCCAAUGUAAUUUGUAACAUAGUAAAUUGGGAGGAUCAUCGAUCACCUGAUGCCGCGCUAGUUGCAUAUAAAAACAUUAUUUAAUACAAUGACAAAGCC
Molecule: ribosomal RNA, 2972 nt
Filed under: Drosophila persimilis
Lineage: Eukaryota; Metazoa; Arthropoda; Insecta; Diptera; Drosophilidae
Description: eukaryotic LSU rRNA
Rfam family: Eukaryotic large subunit ribosomal RNA (bases 1771-2804)
Source: RNAcentral